GACGAACGCUGGCGGCGUGCUUAACACAUGCAAGUCGAACGGAAAGGCCCUGCUUUUGUCGGGUGCUCGAGUGGCGAACGGGUGAGUAACACGUGAGUAACCUGCCCUUGACUUUGGGAUAACUUCAGGUAACUGGGGCUAAUACCGGAUAGGAGCUCCUGCUGCAUGGUGGGGGUUGGAAAGUUUCGGCGGUUGGGGAUGGACUCGCGGCUUAUCAGCUUGUUGGUGGGGUAGUGGCUUACCAAGGCUUUGACGGGUAGCCGGCCUGAGAGGGUGACCGGCCACCUUGGGACUGAGAUACGGCCCAGACUCCUACGGGAGGCAGCAGUGGGGAAUAUUGCACAAUGGGCGGAAGCCUGAUGCAGCAACGCCGCGUGCGGGAUGACGGCCUUCGGGUUGUAAACCGCUUUCGCCUGUGACGAAGCGUGAGUGACGGUAAUGGGUAAAGAAGCACCGGCUAACUACGUG
This 468-nucleotide ribosomal RNA is filed under the name uncultured bacterium. Its description in RNAcentral is "partial 16S ribosomal RNA". It matches the Rfam family "Bacterial small subunit ribosomal RNA", at positions 28 to 507 of the family's 1533-position model. The record is from RNAcentral.